GUUUUGUGGCCAAGGCAGGGGCAGAAGCCAGCUCUUCUUACCCACUGUCCCCAAAGCUCAUCUCACACUGGAGUUGUGACAUCAGCACUAUUCUGCCUCUGCUAUACAACAGGCCCUGGAACAUACUCGAACCAUGUAGGUGAUUUGUGUCCCUGUCUCAUCUUUCUUACCAGAAUACCAUCGGAGCUCCUCUGGAACAUGUCCUUGUCUUCUCAGAGUGUGAAGUGUGUGUGUGACAGUGCUUUUCUGAGGACUCAGGUGACCUGGAGGCUGGAGAACAGCAUGGAGCAAGGAAAACAAAGACGAUGUGCUGGAGUGUAUGUUGCUUUCAUAAUUAUGUGAAAGAAAAUGUAGAGAAAUUUGAAAGGAGAACUGGUUAUCAGUAGUGCCAUCCUGCUCAAAUAUCUUCAAAUACACACCACCAUCCAUGUGUGGGUUGAUUAAGGAGCUGACGUUCAUUAGAUCUGCAGUCUCCUGACCUGAUGUGCAUCAGAAUCACUGGGAGAACAAACAAACAAAAAUGAAUCCAAAACAAGCAACGAACAGACAGAUUCUCAAGUCUUGCCAAGUCCAAAGAUUGAUUUGGUGGAGAAAUUGUACUUUGAAAGCUGCCCAGUGAUGGGAUCCUAGGAAAGCCAUUUCAUCUCUCCAGGCCUUGCAUUCUCAUUUCUACAAUGAAGAUGUGGGCUGUGUGGCUUCUAAAGCCCCCUGAAGUUUGAGCAUUUUGUGAUUCAACACAAACACGAAGCAGUAACUGCGGUGUUGGGCUUGUGGUGCAGGUAGGUGCAGUGUUUUCUGUGAUUGUAAGUGACUUGCUAGCUAUGGAAAUGGCAAGCUCCAGCCGAAAGACAGUCUCACCAGGCUUCUGUAGUCUGGAAGUUCCCAUAGCCUUGUUUGCUGGAGAAGCUGCCAAUAUACUGCAGCAGUUCAGAGCUCAAAGGACCAAGGUGGGGGUAGGGCACUUUUAUUUCCUGGCUGUGUGACAUUGGACCUAUUACUUAGCCACUCUUUAAGCCUCAUGUGUCAAAUGGGAAUAAUAAAAGUACCAACUCUGAAGGGGAUUACAGGAAGUAUUAAAUGUUGACAUGGUUCUUGGCACAUAGUAUGUGGUCAAUCAAUGUUAGCUGUUGCCAUUGUUUCUUAGCUGUGAAGUGAUAGUCAAUCUCUAAGGGCCCAUCCAGCUCUAAAUGGCUCUAAUUCUUUCGGCUUUGUGGAAAAUGUAGUGGCAGAUGACCUCCAGGAUGUUUGGUUAGCUGGCAUUUGGGGAACGAGGCCAAAGUUCACAUGAGAACUCCAAGCCUAUGACAAUAGCAAGUGCUAUUUUGGGGUUAUGUGACAUUUACUGACAUGAUGGAGCCUUUUGAUUAAACACACCUCGAAGCAUUUCUAUUUUGCAACUGCACUUGUAUUUUUCUGGGAGGAGGGGAAGCCAAGUAUUUUGUGGUACCCUCUGCUACAGGCUGAGGAGUUGAAGCUAUUAACCUAGAAAUGCACUGCCCAAGGCAAAUGGUUCCUUUAGUGAAUCUGAAAUGAUCACAAAGGAAGUCAGGUAGUCUCUGGGCAUGGACUGGAUUGGGCAGUGCUGGCUUAGGGCUGUGUUUGGCCUCCCUGACAACACAGCUCUGGGUCCAAAGUCCAAGAAGCCUGGGGGCUGUUUGCAGAAUCUGCUUUCAGGAGUCUUGGACUUCUGUGAAUGGUUAUUCUUCUGGGUGUUCUGUCCCGUACUCUGACAGUACUGGGACAUCGCUGGAGACUUUGUUACUUUCUGUCCAACCGCUGAUGUGCUUCUGCCUAUAGCUUAGCCUAGGAUGGCUCAGCUGGAGCAGGAUGGUGAAAGGUAGCCUACAUGUGUGCACUGACAUGGCUGGGCUGGUCAGGCCUCCUAGCAAAAGACAAGUGAUUCUGACAAGAUGUUCCGACACUCAGCCCUCAGGAUGAUCAUCUGUUAAGGUACUCUCUUGCUUGUUCAGCUGAUCUUAGGCCUUAAAUCUUUUGUAUCACGUGCCUUACUUUUAAGGUCAAGUGUUACCCAAUUAGAGUAAGUUUAUAUAUAUAUUUUAUUAUACUUUAAGUUCUAGG
Molecule: long non-coding RNA, 2079 nt
Filed under: Homo sapiens (human)
Lineage: Eukaryota; Metazoa; Chordata; Mammalia; Primates; Hominidae
Description: non-protein coding lnc-FOXO1-2:30
Source: RNAcentral